RNAcentral lists this ribosomal RNA (408 nucleotides) under Triticum aestivum (bread wheat). RNAcentral describes it as "partial small subunit ribosomal RNA". Lineage: Eukaryota; Viridiplantae; Streptophyta; Magnoliopsida; Poales; Poaceae. The record is from RNAcentral.
AUGUCGUUGCUGCUUGGGUUUUUGAUUAGCUGCAUGCUGUUGUGCUGCUUGAAUGCUUUUGGUUGGGUUCUUUUCUUCGUGCUGCUGUUGAGCGUUGACUGUCACUGCUGCUUGCUGUUAGGGAGCAUGGCAUCUGGGAGCGCCGCCGCCGGUAGCCAAUCGUCCGUGGGUGAGAGUGAAGAGCUCCUAUUUAUCAUGUUAUUAGUGGACUGUGUUAUGCUGUCAUGUUGUGUUUACUGUCUAGUGUGUACUACGGUUUAUUUUUGUAAUACCGCGUCACGUUGGGAGCUUGAGAUUGCCAAACCAUACUGCACUUGGGAGCCAAAUACAUUGGACAUUUGGAAAGCAAAUGUCUUUACUGUUUUCAUGUUCUGUACCACUGAAGGUUAUGUCUUCUUAAGUUUCUAA